GCUAAUGAUUACUCCUAGCGAAAAGUGAAGGAGGAAAGAGUAAAACAGAUAGUGGUUACUGCCAAGAUCCUAGAUUUUUGUUGGAAACAGUGCUCGCUACAUUAUACAAAACAACUAAUUUUUUAAAAGGAAAAAGGUUAGUCUAUGGAUUAACACAUGGCUCACUGUACGUGCCAUGAGCUCGGGAUGAUAGCUGAUCCAAUCCCAUAUACACCUGAAGUCUUGGGGCAGGGGCGGACCACGAGUCAGCGCGCCCCCACAGCACCAGGCUGAUGGCCCCGUGGUUCUUCUGCCUGCAAGCAAAAGUCUGCCACGAUCAUCCUUCUCCAUCUGCAACACCCAGGGUCUUUUCUAAAACUUUUGCCCAGUCGGCUCAGCCAAAAGGACACAGAAGCCCUGCAGAGGCUCUGAAACCAAGCUGCCAUGGCUCCCAGUUCGACAUCAUGUCACCGGAGCCUGCACAGAUGAACCAAGCUUGCAACACGGGAGGAACCUAAGCGCUGGACUGAGGGGCGGGACUGAAAUAAGAAGCGCACACCACAUGGCAAGAUCCAGGAUCCAAUCAGAUAGAGCCCUGGGUGUCAUCUAAUUGCAAGAUCCAAUCAGAACACACCUCAUUACCUUAUG
This 627-nucleotide unclassified non-coding RNA is filed under the name Mus musculus (house mouse). Its description in RNAcentral is "partial miscellaneous RNA". The record is from RNAcentral. Lineage: Eukaryota; Metazoa; Chordata; Mammalia; Rodentia; Muridae.